UUACUCUCAGGGUUAUACCUGGAGAGUUUCCAGUACUCUACCAGUCUUGACUACAGGAGGGAGAGGCAAGCAGAGGCAUAUACAUUCCAUUCCUAGUUGGGCAGUGGCUAGUGAGUGGAAGGUCAUCUGCUACAAGU
RNAcentral lists this small nucleolar RNA (137 nucleotides) under Ornithorhynchus anatinus (platypus). Lineage: Eukaryota; Metazoa; Chordata; Mammalia; Monotremata; Ornithorhynchidae. The record is from RNAcentral.